Molecule: unclassified non-coding RNA, 382 nt
Filed under: fungal sp.
Lineage: Eukaryota; Fungi
Description: partial internal transcribed spacer region
Rfam family: Eukaryotic small subunit ribosomal RNA (bases 1-46)
Source: RNAcentral
AAGUCGUAACAAGGUUUCCGUAGGUGAACCUGCGGAAGGAUCAUUAACACGUAUCCAACGUUAAACAACCCUGUGAACUUUAAGUCCCCUCUUGCAGCCCAUGAGGAACAGCAAUCCCGGUAAAUCAUUGCCAAACAGUUUUGAUUCGGGACCUCUGUCCAAAAGGAGUUGCAAUCGAAGGGUGGAAGCAGUGGCAUGGCUUCCCCAAGCAGUUAGUGAAUGACAGUGUCACUGACUGUGUAAGGAUAACGCCUCACGGUUGCUAGAGGUCGAUCACCGACCGGCAGACAUGUCACAGGGCCACUUGAAAAUGCCCCGCCUAGUGGUAACGCGCUAGGUAAAAAAAACCGAACAACUGUUAACAAUGGAUAUCUUGGUUCUC